Molecule: long non-coding RNA, 406 nt
Organism: Oncorhynchus keta (chum salmon)
Lineage: Eukaryota; Metazoa; Chordata; Actinopteri; Salmoniformes; Salmonidae
Exons: 3
Source: RefSeq, a predicted model, not a curated record
GUUAAUAACUGGGCUGCAGGUCUAGAAUCAGAUUACGAUAGGAGAGCUGUUAAUAACUGGGCUGCAGGUCUAGAAUCAGAUUACGAUAGGAGAGCUGUUAAUAACUGGGCUGCAGGUCUAGAAUCAGAUUACGAUAGGAGAGCUGUUAAUAACUGGGCUGCAGGUCUAGAAUCAGAUUACGAUAGGAGAGCUGUUAAUAACUGGGCUGCAGGUCUAGAAUCAGAUUACGAUAGGAGAGCUGUUAAUAACUGGGCUGCAGGUCUAGAAUCAGAUUACGAUAGGAGAGCUGUUAAUAACUGGGCUGCAGGUCUAGAAUCAGAUUACGAUAGGAGAGCUGUUAAUAACUGGGCUGCAGGUCUAGAAUCAGAUUACGAUAGGAGAGCUGUUAAUAACUGGGCUGCAGGUC